CCCCGCCCUCCCUGUGAAGAGCCCGGUUUCUGGGAGAAUCCAGUUCAAGCCAGGAUUCUUCCAGGAGCAAAUUAUAGGACAGCUCCAUGGUACUCUGAGAAAUAACAGAUCCCUUUGCCCUUUUAACUACAAAGUCCAGAGCAGCUUCAGGCAUGGCUGGAUCCAGGUGCUGCCGUGUGCCAUCAGGGCCACUCAGGGGCUGCCUCCCAGCUCUGUUUCCUCCACGCUGGUGUGGUUUUCCUGGCAGACAGGGAGGUCCCCCAGCGGCUCCUGCUCUGUACCCUUGCCCCAGCAGUCCCAGGGGCAAGAAUGUUUCCUACCCAGGAGUCAGCAGUCCCGGGCCCGAGUCUCUUGGACUCUGCAGGUGCCGCCGAUGGCGCGGCAGCAGCAGACACGCCCAGCUGGCGAGUGAUCAGUGAGCAGCGGCACGGUGCCCUGCGGGCUCUGUGGCAGGGAGGGGCCCGUAUUUCACCAUACACACACAGGUGGGCACAUCCACCCGGGAAAGGCAGAGGAUGACCGGCUCCGACCCUCUGCCCGUCCUAUCGCAGGCAGGUGCCCCAGGAGCACCAGUACCUUUGUGUCGUUUGAGCGUUCAUGCCAAGAACACGCUCAGGCUUGACCUGCCUGUCUAAACUGACGUUCAGAGGAAGGACAGUUCCGAAGAAAGAAGGCAGGGAGGCGUGUGGCCAUUUCAUUAGGAAUCCCCUCAGGGGGUGUCCGUGCUGAUGUCUGUAGGGUCCGCCUCGGGUUUUAGGACCAGGAAGCAGGUCACGGGCAUUGGUUAAGGACGCAGCUCCCCACCCCGUGCAUUCGUUCGGGUGUCCUGCUCACAUGCGGGGAGGCCAGGGAGGCGGGGGGAGGGCCCCGUUAUGUGAAGGGUCUUGUUGCUUUUACCCCUGUGGACAUGGGAGGCUGUGGGCCAGACCGACGCACUCCCCAGAAUUCGCUGUCAGCCAGGUUCACCCCAUCCUUUGGCCAUGAUCACGGGCUGCAGGUGCGGUGAGAUCCACACCUCCGCUGGCCGCGCCCGUGACAACCCACUUCCUGGAGGAGCUGGCUGUGGGAGGGGCGGCACCGAGCCCAGCCUGGGGCGGUGGGGGUGAGAGGCGGCAGAGCUGAGAGCUGCGAUGCUGGUGGCUAUUACUUAUUCCUGUUCUAGGACAGGUCUUGUCUCAUGCAAUGCCACAGCCACCCCCAGAGAGGACAUUAAUACUGUGAUUCUGCCCAGGGGAGCUAGGGUGGCUAAGGAGAGCCACACACAAGGAAAAACAUAA
This is a long non-coding RNA of Pipistrellus kuhlii (Kuhl's pipistrelle), 1277 nucleotides long. RefSeq lists it as uncharacterized. The transcript is spliced from 2 exons. NCBI's taxonomy places the organism in Eukaryota, Metazoa, Chordata, Mammalia, Chiroptera, Vespertilionidae. The record is from RefSeq and is a predicted model, not a curated record.